Molecule: ribosomal RNA, 247 nt
Filed under: uncultured bacterium
Lineage: Bacteria
Description: partial 16S ribosomal RNA
Rfam family: Bacterial small subunit ribosomal RNA
Source: RNAcentral
AUACGAAGGGGGCUAGCGUUGCUCGGAAUUACUGGGCGUAAAGGGCGCGUAGGCGGACAGUUAAGUUGGGGGUGAAAGCCCGGGGCUCAACCUCGGAAUUGCCUUCAAUACUGGCUGUCUUGAGUACGGGAGAGGUGAGUGGAACUCCGAGUGUAGAGGUGAAAUUCGUAGAUAUUCGGAAGAACACCAGUGGCGAAGGCGACUCACUGGCCCGUUACUGACGCUGAGGCGCGAAAGCGUGGGGAGC